UACGGAGGAUCCAAGCGUUAUCCGGAAUCAUUGGGUUUAAAGGGUCCGUAGGCGGAUUUGUAAGUCAGGGGUGAAAUCCCGGGGCUCAACCUCGGAACUGCCUUUGAUACUGCAAAUCUCGAGUCCGAUAGAGGUGGGUGGAAUUCCUAGUGUAGAGGUGAAAUUCGUAGAUAUUAGGAAGAACACCGGUGGCGAAGGCGGCCCACUGGAUCGGUACUGACGCUGAGGUGCGAAAGCGUGGGGAGCAAACAGG
Molecule: ribosomal RNA, 253 nt
Filed under: uncultured prokaryote
Description: partial 16S ribosomal RNA
Rfam family: Bacterial small subunit ribosomal RNA
Source: RNAcentral